RNAcentral lists this long non-coding RNA (2676 nucleotides) under Canis lupus familiaris (dog). RNAcentral describes it as "lncRNA (ENSCAFG00000044497.2)". Lineage: Eukaryota; Metazoa; Chordata; Mammalia; Carnivora; Canidae. The record is from RNAcentral.
CCUGCCCAUACCUCCUGCCCUUGUUAGGGCUGUUCUGCAGAUGAGUUUUUCUUGCUUUUGAACUUUUCCUCAAGGGAACUGUAAGGCAUGUGGCCUUUGUCAUUUUUUUUUUUUUUUUACUCCCUCCCUGUUAUUUCUCUACAGUGCUUCCCAGUCUGGAACGUUAUGGGAGCUUGCUCUUUUUCCUUGCUGUGUAGUACUCCAUUGUGUGAUUAGGCCACAGUUGGUCCCUCCAUUCUGCUGUGGGUGGGCAUUCCAGUUGUUUCUGGUUUUCUGGUGGCCGUGAGCCUCAUCAGGAGGUCUGCAUUGCUUGUACUGUAUGCGGGCUCCCCCCCUGUGGACGUGUAUGUCAUGCACACACACACUUAUGCACACACGCCUGCACCUGGAGUCCUCACCAGCACCUUCUUGAUCCUUUCUCCUCCUCCUCAAUUUUGACUGCUCAGGAGGCCAGAGAGCAAACACCCACCAUGCCCGACUGGAAGGCUUGGGCCUGCUUCUUUCAGGAAGUGAAUUCAUCAUUUCUAACCCAGUGGCUUCUUAUUUUGCAGCUCCUCUGAAGUCUGUGCGGUCCCGGGAGACUUCACUUCCCUUCCCGGUUCCCGGCAGCACGUUGCCUUUAUUCGGAGUUAACUACUAGACCUAAUUAAACAGCAUCAUCUCCUCAGAGUGGCUGAUUUUCUUCCCUUCUGAAUACAAAUUAAACUUCCAUGCCGUUAACAUUCAGUCUCGUCAGGGGGCAACUGUUGAUUCAGCGCCUCUGUGUGCCAGGCACGGCGCUGGGCUCUGCGGAAGCCUCGGUGCGCAGGACACACGCGUCGGGGAGACGGAGAACGGGAACCCCCAGCUCUGUGUGCACCUGUGCCUGCCGGUGGGGUGCGGUGCCACAGAAGUGACAGGGAGACGUGCCACGAUUGCGGGAUUCCAACUGAGGCCGAGGCUGGGGGGCUCGUGGGGACUUACACGAGGCUGGGGCCUCUCCGUCAUCCUCGGAAUGACACAGCUGGUCAUGGGAUCGUCAGGCCUCGGCAGACGUUCCGCCGCAGAGGAGAAUAUUCUUUCAACCACGGGGACAAGCCAGUCCCUCCUGAAAGGGCUGGGCCAGCAGGACCAGGGUUUGAGCACAAACCCCUCAACGCCAAGAUCCAGAGUGGACACUCUUCCCCUCCCUCCCCAUAAAGCAUAUCAAAGUCUUAUCUUUUCCAGAUUCUGGAAAGUCUUCCAACAUCACCCCCUUUUGUUUCUCCUGGAUUAGCAGGUGGUCACUUUGGGUUUUGGGAGUCCUCUCCCUGUCCCCAACAGGAAAACUGUCAGGAAUAUUCACUCCAGGGCUGCUUCUACAGGCGGACCUGAGGUCUGAGGGAGCGUGGUGCCAACCCCCACUGAGCUAGCUGUGUGGCUUUGGCUGGGUGACUCAACCUGAGUGUCAGUGUCCCUGCCUUUGUCAUGGGGAUCACGAUGGCGAUGCUCACCUGUGAGGCUGGGAUGAUGACCCCAUGCCAUUGUGUAAACGAAAGGGCCCAGCAAAUGGGAGGUCCACAUCCAGUUGUAGCUCUGUUAAUACAAGGAACGUCAACGUCGGGAAAUGUGUUCAUGACAGCAUCGACUUUUCUGGAGUUUUAUGAGAAUUAAGUGAGCAUUUACUGGCACGUUACAGCACCUCACACGUGAGUAGUCACAGAAGGUCACUGAAGUGUUUGAUGUUUGUUAUUAACAAAUAAUAAUACCUCUUGUCCUGUGUCCUGAGGGCCUGCCGUGAAGAGAGAAGUUGGAUGGAGAAAGAAAACAACUUUUAUUGAGCACGCAGGUGUGCCAGGAAGUUUUCCUUUUUAUUUCUCGAGUUCCGUUUUUGUGUUUUCCUUCACGACCACCCUGCCACGAUGGUUCUGUGGUUUUGGUAGAAUCAAGACUCCUGGCGGCAAGCAGUGGAAAACCUAUCUCACUAGCUUAAGCAGAAAGAGAAUUUACUCCUGCAGAAUGGCUCACGGAACUGGAUUAAGCUUCAGGUGCGGCUGGAUCAAGAGCCUUGGGGGAUGUGGCUCCCACGCAGCCUCUCCCACUAACCCUGCCCCCGGGCCCCGCUUUUCUGUGUGUUGGCCUCAGCCACUACCCAGCUGCCUCCUUCUGGUGGCGAGAUGGCGGGCAAAAGCUUCAGGAUUUCCUCCAGAGAGUGUCCCUGUCCUCCCAGCCCUGGCAGGAGUCCCAGAGAAGUCUCUCACUGGCCUCUCUGGGUGAUAGAAGCACCCCUGAGCCCAUUGCGGGGGCCACAGGGAGACCCAGUGCUCUGAUUGGUCAGGUCAGGAUCGGGAACCACCCUUAGGCUCAUAUGUGGGGUCAGCUCUACUCCCCAGAGGAAAAUGGGGUGCUAUUCCCACAGAAGAGGGGAUGGACGCUGGAAGGACAAAACUGCUCUGGGGCCUGGGGGUGGCCUGGGUGACGAGCACCCACAGGCCUGGCCACCGGGAAGCGGAAGAGGACAACCGGCCCGGGCGCUGGGGCCGAGGACCACCGGCUCACAGUGAACUCUCGGCUUAAAACGUGAUUUAUAUUUAGCACGAGGAAAGCUGUCAAGCUCUUAAAUAUGCAUGGGGUUGGAAGAGCCAGGAGGGAGAGAAAGUGCAGAGCCUGCAUGUGCCAGCGAGGAAUUAAUUAGAAAUAAACCCGAUACGAGAAGCU